UCCAGGACUGGAGACUGUGCCACCUGGUGCCAUUGUCAUUACUGACCUCCCCGGGUUGCGGCGUUGGACGUGCCCUGAUCCUUGGUAUGGAGUUAGUGAUUCCUUCAUCUUUACCAGAAGGUGAUGUCUACUAACCUUGUCUUGUGUCCAUCAGGUGGCAGUGGAGAGUUGUGACACCCCCCCCCGCCCCCUUCCCCCGAGCGGUGCAAGGACUCUACUGAGGCUCUUGGUGGACACAGCAGGAACCCACAGCCAGAGAUGGAUGCCAAGAUCCACUCCUUCCUCUGUCUGGCAAGCUCUACUGACCCCGGAGGUCGUUCCCACGCUUGCAGGGGUCCUAUGGGCUUGGUGUCGGUUGUCCCUUGUGCUCACUUUGCUGUCACCGGGUGUUCUUCCUUUGCCCAUGUUUAGGGCUCCCCAGUUCUGGUGGGAUCUCAGUGCCUUCUGCUGAUCCCAGCAAACCUAGAUCUUUUUCUCUUUUUGAGUUCAAUAUUGUUUCUUUUACUUACAGUUUUUACUUUAAAAAGAUUAAUUUCUAGAGCCUUCUGUCAAUAGGACAACUGCAAUGUAAAGGUCUGAAGCAAUGAUUCACAACUUGGCACAGGAUUUAAACAACUGGUGUACAGGUGAUGCAAUUAACCUGGAGGUGGGACUGGGUGGAGCCAGUGUCCACCUGGGCUCAUUUAAAGGCUGGAAGCUGAAGGGGAAGGGUCUGUGCCUGGGGGUUGCCAUGGCUGUUUAGUUGGGUGAGUGCUGAGCCUUGGGAAGGGCUGUUGCUUUUGUUUCUUUGUUUGAUGCUCAUCUGUUUGUUUUUGGUUCAGUGCUGACCAUGAGGUUCUGGACAUCAGGACUUCUUCAAAGCGGUGAGAGAACUCUACUUGAGGACCUUAGUGGUUACAGCAGGAAGCCACAGCCAAGGCUGGACACCAACAUCCAUUCUUGAUCUUUUCUGGCAAGCUCUAUUGCUCUCAGAGAGUGUUGUUGCUCUUCUGGCCGUUCAAUGGGAUCGGUGUCCCAUAGAUUGGCUUAGGGCUCCCCAGCACUACUGGCUGUCAGUGCCUUCUGUCGCUCCCAGUCAACAUGGCUCUGUUCUUUGCUUUCUGGGUUCCAGAGUGUUUGCUACAGUUAUGGAGUGUUUUCCUUCUCUCUCUUCUUGUCUUCCAUGUUGCCCAUUGGCGCCUCAGUGGAGCUUCUGUGCCUCAAAUGCUGUCUGCUAUGCACUGACCAAGGCUGAUGCCAUAAGAAGAGGACUGGAGAGUCCACCACCCGGUGCCGUUGUCAUUCCUGACCUCUCUUGGUUGUGGCAUUGCACGUGCCCUGAUCCUUGGAAAGGGGUAAGAGAUUUGUAUUUCAUUAUCAGAAGGUGAUCUGUACUUACCUUGUCUUGUGUCCAUCAGGUGGCAGUGGAGAGUUGUGACCACCCCCCCAAGCGGUGCAAGGACUCUACUGAGGCUCUUGGUGGACACAGCAGGAACCCACAGCCAACUCCUUUUUUUUUGUCUGGCAAGCUCUACUGACCCUGGAGGUUGUUCCCACGCUUGCAGAGGUCCUAUGGGCUUGGUGUCGGUUGUCCCUUGCGCUCACCUUGCUGUCACCGGGUGUUCUUCCUUUGCCCAUCUCUAGGGCUCCCCUUUUCUGAUGGGAUCUCUGUGCGUUGUGUUAAUCCCGAAGUACUUCAGAUUCUUCUUUCAUUUUCAGGUUCAGUGCCAUUUCAUGCUUUUAUGCUGUGUUUUCCUGCCUUCCUUUUGUUUUAUGGGCUGGAAAUGUAUGCCUGAGUGGGUCUAGGAUGACCCAAAUGCAAUCUAAGAAGGCUUGACCGAGUGUGGUGGGAAAGGAAGAGGACCGGGGACAGCAGCACCAGAUGCCGUUGCAUUUUGUGACCACCCCACAUUGCAGCAUUGGAAGUGCCUGGACCCUUGGAAAGGGCUAAGUGAUUCCUUCAUCAUUGCUAGAAUGUAGUUUGUGCUCAUCAGGAGAUGGUGGAGAAGUGUGGCCUUCUCAUUGGUGCAAAGAGUCUGCUGAGGCUCGAUGUGGAUAGAAUAGGAAUGCAGAGCCAUAGGGUGCAUGCCAAGGUCCACUCCUUUGUCUGUCUCACCAGCUCUGUUGAUCCCUGAGGUCAUUUCCAUGCUUGCAGAGGUCCUAUGGGCUUGGUGUCGGUUGUUCCUUGCGCUCACUGGGCUUUCACUGGGUGUUGCUACCUUGUAACCACCUUUCCCAGCCUCUAUUUCCAAGCAGGAGCUUCCCUUGGCCUCCAUGUCUCGCUCUGGCCAGGCAGAUGUGGUGAGCCAAUGGUACACAGAGUCUGGACCCUGAGCAGAACAACAACUGAGGAGAGAGGCUGCCCUGGGUGAGACAGGAGAUGUGCCCCUUGAAGCGGGGGACGCCCCGCUGGCGCUGCCUCUCGCAUCCACCGGCGGCACGUUCCUUCUCUCUCCUUGCCGCCCGGCGCUUUGCCGUCUCCCAGGGCUCGCCAAGUCCAAAUGUCCCGUGAUCGAGUGCAACUCCAGCUUGACCAACACUCACCCCGUCUGUCCCCACACCAGCUGGCUUAGGGCUCCCAGUCAGCAAUUCUGGCUGUCGGUGCCUUCUGUUGCUCUCAUUCAGCAUGGCUCUGUUCUUUGCUUUUUGGGUUACAAAAGACUUGCUACAGUUAUGGAGUGUUUUCCUUCUCUCUUCUUGUCUUCCAUGUUGCCCAUUGGCGCCUCAGUGGAGCUUCUGUGACCCACAUGUAGACUGCUCUGCGUUGACCAAGGCUGAUGCCAAAAGAAGAGGUAGGCUCCAAAACAGGCUGCUGGUGAGUGCUGUGUAUUACUUGGGGUUCCUAGAAUGCCUGCUAUUCCUUCUUAUCCCACGUUGCUCAGCACCAAAUGUGAAGGUUUCUUCUUUCCUUCCAGGACUGGAGACUGUGCCACCCGGUGCCGUUGUCAUUCCUGACCUCUCUUGGUUGUGGCGUUGGACGUGCCCUGAUCCUUGGAAAGGGGUAAGAGAUUUGUAUUUCAUUAUCAGAAGGUGAUCUGUACUUAUCUUGUCUUGUGUCCAUCAGGUGGCAGUGGAGAGUUGUGACCACCCCCCCAAGCGGUGCAAGGACUCUACUGAGGCUCUUGGCGGACACAGCAGGAACCCACAGCCAGAGAUGGAUGCCAAGAUCCACUCCUUCCUCUGUCUGGCAAGCUCUACUGACCCCGGAGGUCGUUCCCAUGCUUGCAGGGGUCCUAUGGGCUUGGUGUCGGUUGUCCCUUGUGCUCACUUUGCUGUCACCGGGUGUUCUUCCUUUGCCCAUGUUUAGGGCUCCCCAGUUCUGGUGGGAUCUCAGUGCCUUCUGCUGAUCCCACAGAACUUGGGUUUGUUCUCUUAUAUCCAGGCUCAGUAUCUUUUCUUGCUUGUAUGCAAUAUUGACCCUUUUUUUUUUCUUUUAUGGGCUGCAGAUGGAUAUGUCAUAGAGGUAUGUUGACCCAAAUGGAGACUGCUUUGCUUUGGCAGAGGGAGAUGCAAAUAAAAGGGGCAGGUGCCAAAACACGCUUCCGGAUUGGUGACUUCUCCACCAGCUGGUAUUGGCCAUCCUGACCUCUUUGGGUUGCAGCGUUAGAUGUGCUCUGAUCCUUGGAAAGGGUAAGUGAUCCCUCUUUCAUGACCUGAAGGUGAUGUCUACUUAGCUUGUUUUGUGUUCAACAGGUGGCGGCUGGGAACUGUGACCCUUUGAGGCCACUGAGGAUGUUCAAGGACACAGGUGGAAACCACAGCCAAACAUGGAUGCCAAGAUCCACUCCUUAUUUCUUGUGGCAAGCUCUGCUGACCCUGGAGUUUGUUCCCACGCUUGCAGAGGUCCUAUGGGCUUGGUGUCGGUUGUCCCUUGUGCUCACCUUGCUGUCACCGGGUGUUCUUCCUUUGCCCAUCUCUAGGGCUCCCCAGUUUUCAUGGGAUCUCUGCCUUCUGUUGAUCCCAGAGUACUUCAAUUUGUUCUUUCAUUUUCAGGUUCAGUGCCAUUUCAUGCUUUUAUGCUGUGUUUUUCUGCCUUCCUUUUGUUUUAUGGGCUGGAAACGUAUGCCUGAUUGGAUCUAGGAUGACCCAAAUGCAAUCUAGGAAGGUUUCACCAAGCGUGGUGGGAAAGGAAGAGGUAGGCUCCUAAGCAGACUUCUGGUGAGGACUGUGUAUAAUUUGGGUUUUUCUGGGAUGCCCACUACUCCUCCCUACCCUAUUUUGUUCAUUACCAUGUGUGAGGGUUUCUUUUUUUCCUUUUGGGACUGGGGACAGCAGUGCCAGAUGCUGAUACACUUUGUGACCUCCCCAGGUUGCAGUGUUGGAUGUGCCCUGAUCCUUGGAAAGGGGUGGGAGAUCUGUAUUUCAUUAUCAGGUGAUCUCUAUUUACCUUGUCUUGUCCAUCAGGUGGCAGUGGAGAGUUGUGACCCCCCCCCCCGAGCAGUGCAAGGACUCUACUGAGGCUCUUGGUUGACACAGCAGGAACCCACAGCCAGAGAUGGACGCCAAGAUCCACUCCUUCCUUUGUCUGGCAAGCUCUGUUGUCACUGUAGGUUGUUCCCAUGCUUGCAAAGGUCCUAAGGUGUCUGCUGUCCCUUGCGCUCACCUUGCUGUCACUGGGUGUUCUCCCUUUGCCCAUUCCUAGGGCUCCCCAGUUCUGAUGGGAUCUCUGUGCCUUCUGCUGUUCUAACAGAACAUUGAUUUGUUCUCUUAAUUUUCAGGUUCACUAUCAUUUCUUCAUGUUAUGCUGUGUUUCUCUUUGUUCCCUUUGUUUUCCAGGCUGCCAAUUGAGGCCUCGUUGGAGCUACGGUGACCCAAAUACAGACUGCUAUGUGUUGAGCAAGGGUGAUGCCAAAAGAAUAGGACUGGGGACAGCAGCACCAGAUGCCGUUGCAUUUUGUGACCACCCCACAUUGCAGCAUUGGAAGUGCCUGGACCCUUGGAAAGGGCUAAGUGAUUCCUUCAUCAUUGCUAGAAUGUAGUUUGUGCUCAUCAGGAGAUGGUGGAGAAGUGUGGCCUUCUCAUUGGUGCAAAGAGUCUGCUGAGGCACAAUGUGGAUAGAAUAGGAAUGCAGAGCCAUAGGGUGCAUGCCAAGGUCCACUCCUUUGUCUGUCUCACCAGCUCUGUUGAUCCCUGAGGUCAUUUCCAUGCUUGCAGAGGUCCUAUGGGCUUGGUGUCGGUUGUUCCUUGCGCUCACUGGGCUUUCACUGGGUGUUGCUACCUUGUAACCACCUUUCCCAGCCUCUAUUUCCAAGCAGGAGCUUCCCUUGGCCUCCAUGUCUCGCUCUGGCCAGGCAGAUGUGGUGAGCCAACGGUACACAGAGUCUGGACCCUGAGCAGAACAACAACUGAGGAGAGAGGCUGCCCUGGGUGAGACAGGAGAUGUGCCCCUUGAAGCGGGGGACGCCCCGCUGGCGCUGCCUCUCGCAUCCACCGGCGGCACGUUCCUUCUCUCUCCUUGCCGCCCGGCGCUUUGCCGUCUCCCAGGGCUCGCCAAGUCCAAAUGUCCCGUGAUCGAGUGCAACUCCAGCUUGACCAACGCUCACCCCGUCUGUCCCCACACCAGCUGGCUUAGGGCUCCUCAGCAAUGCAGGCUUUUGCUCCCAGUCAGCGUGGCUCUGUUCUUUGUUUCCUGGGUUCCAGAGCGUUUGCUACAGUUAUGGAGUGUUUCCCUUCUCUCUCUUCUUGUCUUCCAUGUUGCCCGUUGGCGCCUCAGUGGAGCUUCUGUGACCCAAAUGCAGACUGCUAUGCACUGACCAAGGCUGACGCCAGAAGAAGAGGUAGGCUCCAAAACAGGCUGCUGGUGAGUGCUGUGCAUGACUUGGGGUUGUUAGAAUGACUCGUGUUCCUCCCUAACCCGUGUUGUUCAGUACAACUAUUGAGGGUUUUAACUUUGAUUCUAGGUUUGGAUACUCUGCCAUCAGAUGGCGUUGCCUGUUCUUCUCUUCCCAGGUUACAGAGUUGGAUGUGACCUCGGCAUUGGAUAAGGGGUAAAUGGUUCUUUCUUGCUUACCAGAAGGUAAUCUGUACUUGUGUUGUGUGGAACAGGUUGCAGUGGAAAACUGUAGUUGUCCUGAGUGCUGCAAGGACCCUAUCAAGGCAUUUGGUGGAUAAAGCAGGAACCCACAGCUGGAGAUGGACGCCACAAUCCGCUCCUUUCUCUGUCUGGCAAGCUCUGCUGACCCCUGAGGUCAUUUCCAGGCUUACUGAGGUCUUAUGGGCUUGGUGUCGGUUGUCGCUUGUGCUCACUUUGAUGUCACCGGGUGUUCAUCCUUUGCCCAUUCUUAGGGCUCCCCAGUUCUAAUGGGAUGUCAGUGCCUUCUGUUGAUCCCAGAGAACAUGGGCUGCCAAUUGAUCCCUCUUCGGUCUGCAAUAAACCAAAUGCUGUCUAGUAAGGUUUGACCAAGUGAGAUGGAAAAUGAAGUGGUAGGCUCCAAAACAGGCUUGCUUAUUGGAGACUUAUCCACCACAUGGUGAUGCCUUUCCUGACUUCCUUGAUUGCAGUGUCGGAUGUGUCCUGCUCCUUGGAAAGGGUUAAGUGAUUCCUUUGUCCUUAGUAGAAUGUGAUCUCUACUUACCGUGUCUUGUGUCCUUCAGGUGGCAGUGGAGAGCUGUGACCAUCCCGAGCAGUGCAAGGACUCUACUGAUGCUUUUGGUGGACAGAGCAGGAACCCACAUCCAUAGAUAGACACCAAGAUCCAUUCCUUUAUUAGUUUGGCAAACUCUGUUUUCCCCUGAGGUCAUCCCCACACUUGCAGAGGUCCUAUGGGCUUGGUGUUGGUUUUCCCUUGUGCUUACUGGGCUUUCCAAGCUUUUUUUCCCUUACUUGACACCACCUUUCCCAUCCUCUAUUUCCAAGCAGGAGUUCCCCUUGGCCUCCAUGUCUCGCUCUGGCCAGGCAGAUGUGGUGAGCCAACGGAUCAAAGCUUUCAGAAUUCAACCAAAAUAAACGGGGAGAGAGGCCGCCCUGGGUGAGACAGGAGACGUGCCCCUUGAGGCGGGGGACGCCCCGCUGGCACUGCCUCUCGCAUCCACCGGUGGCACAUUCCUUCUCUCUCCUUGCCGCCCGGCGCUUUGCCGUCUCCCAGGGCUCACCAAGUCCAAAUGUCCCGUGAUUGAGUGCAACUCCAACUUGACCAACACUCACCCCGUCUGUUCCCGCAUCAGCUGGCGUAGGGCUCCCCAGUACUGCUGGCUGUCAGUGUCUUCUGUUGCUCUCUGUCAACAUGGUGUUGUUCUUUCUUUUUUGGUUCAGUAGCGUGUCUUCUUGUAUUGCAGUGUUACCUUACUCUUUUUCAUCAUGUUUCAUGUUGCCAGUCAAUGUGUCUUUGGAGAUACACAGACUGAAAUGUAAACUGAUGUUCUUUGAUCAAGUGUGAUGGAAAGUGAGGAAGUAGGUUCCAAUACAGCUUUUGUGUGAGUGCUUUGUAUGACUUGGGGUUUCUGGAAUUACAUCUAAUUUGUCCUAAUCCACAUUGUUCAGUACCACAUGUCAAUGUUUCUUUUUUUCUUGUAGGGUUGGAGACUCCACUACUGGAUUCGAUUGGGCUUACAAGUCUUCCUGUGUUUGUGCAUUGGAUGUGCACUGAUGCUUGCAGAGGGAUAAGUGAUUACUCUGUGUGCCCUUUGGCCCAAAUUCCAAAUAUUACCCCAUGUAGUCUAAGUCCAGCUUUUCGCAUGCUCACCAUCUUUGUCCUUGCAAUAAAUUGGUUAGGGAUCUGAAAUAGUGAUGGGUUGUCGGUGCCUUGUGUUGCUGAUAUCACACUUUGGAAUGGUUUUUCCUUUAUGGUUGAACAGCAUUUCUUGCCAUCAUGCAGAGUUUGUCUUUUUUGUUUGCAUGAAGGAAGUGAAGUUGCCAUUGCGACACAAUGCAAGCCCGUCCUUCUGAAGCUGGAAGCUCUCAGCGAGAUAUGCUGAUCACCUUCAUCCAACGAUGACCAGGGAACUGUGCUGCUUUUUUAGGACCAUGACAAUAGGGUGGAGCAAUGCGUUAAUAAUGUCUUGGAAUUCUACCCAUCUUUCUUGUAAUGUAAUUAAUGUUUGUAUGUUAUGUUUUAAAAAAUGUAACGAUUGUUAUCCUGGCUGUGUCCGUUAGGAGGACGUUUCUUGUUGCGCCUUGUGUUGUAAUAAACAUGCCUGCUGAGUGUUGUGUGAGUCAA
Long non-coding RNA from Gallus gallus (chicken), 8135 nucleotides. RefSeq lists it as uncharacterized. The transcript has 7 exons. The record is from RefSeq and is a predicted model, not a curated record. NCBI's taxonomy places the organism in Eukaryota, Metazoa, Chordata, Aves, Galliformes, Phasianidae.